AAGUCGUAACAAGGUUCCCGUAGGUGAACCUGCGGAAGGAUCAUUAACGAAAUGCACCUGCUGUACGCCAACCUGCCGGCUAGAUCGCCAAAAGGCUAACGUACAGCAUGGUAACUUUCAACCAUUGUGAAUUUGUAAUACUUAUUUUACCAUUUGACUGUUAACGAAGACUGAUCAAUAAUCUGUUGGCGUUUAAAGAUGCUAAUACAAUCAUUGAAACAACUUUUGGCAACGGAUCUCUUGGCUCUC
RNAcentral lists this unclassified non-coding RNA (249 nucleotides) under fungal sp. RNAcentral describes it as "partial internal transcribed spacer region". The stretch from base 1 to 46 matches the Rfam family "Eukaryotic small subunit ribosomal RNA", at positions 1786 to 1831 of the family's 1831-position model. The record is from RNAcentral. Lineage: Eukaryota; Fungi.